UGCACCUGAUUGAUUUUGGUCGCCAACGAGUGGCGGACGGGUGAGUAACACGUAUGUAACCUGCCCAGAAGCGGGGGACAACAUUUGGAAACAGAUGCUAAUACCGCAUAACAACGUUGUUCGCAUGAACAACGCUUAAAAGAUGGCUUCUCGCUAUCACUUCUGGAUGGACCUGCGGUGCAUUAGCUUGUUGGUGGGGUAAUGGCCUACCAAGGCGAUGAUGCAUAGCCGAGUUGAGAGACUGAUCGGCCACAAUGGGACUGAGACACGGCCCAUACUCCUACGGGAGGCAGCAGUAGGGAAUCUUCCACAAUGGGCGCAAGCCUGAUGGAGCAACACCGCGUGAGUGAAGAAGGGUUUCGGCUCGUAAAGCUCUGUUGUUAAAGAAGAACACGUAUGAGAGUAACUGUUCAUACGUUGACGGUAUUUAACCAGAAAGUCACGGCUAACUACGUGCCAGCAGCCGCGGUAAUACGUAGGUGGCAAGCGUUAUCCGGAUUUAUUGGGCGUAAAGAGAGUGCAGGCGGUUUUCUAAGUCUGAUGUGAAAGCCUUCGGCUUAACCGGAGAAGUGCAUCGGAAACUGGAUAACUUGAGUGCAGAAGAGGGUAGUGGAACUCCAUGUGUAGCGGUGGAAUGCGUAGAUAUAUGGAAGAACACCAGUGGCGAAGGCGGCUACCUGGUCUGCAACUGACGCUGAGACUCGAAAGCAUGGGUAGCGAACAGGAUUAGAUACCCUGGUAGUCCAUGCCGUAAACGAUGAGUGCUAGGUGUUGGAGGGUUUCCGCCCUUCAGUGCCGGAGCUAACGCAUUAAGCACUCCGCCUGGGGAGUACGACC
Molecule: ribosomal RNA, 837 nt
Filed under: Limosilactobacillus fermentum
Lineage: Bacteria; Bacillati; Bacillota; Bacilli; Lactobacillales; Lactobacillaceae
Description: bacterial SSU rRNA
Rfam family: Bacterial small subunit ribosomal RNA
Source: RNAcentral